RNAcentral lists this ribosomal RNA (441 nucleotides) under uncultured Glomeromycotina. Its description in RNAcentral is "SSU rRNA". It matches the Rfam family "Eukaryotic small subunit ribosomal RNA", at positions 569 to 1017 of the family's 1831-position model. Lineage: Eukaryota; Fungi; Glomeromycota. The record is from RNAcentral.
AGCAGCCGCGGUAAUUCCAGCUCCAAUAGCGUAUAUUAAAGUUGUUGCAGUUAAAAAGCUCGUAGUUGAAUUUCGGGAUCAGUUGGUCGGUCGUGCCUCGGUACGUACUGGUCAAAUUGAUUCCUACCUUCUGACGAACCACGAUGUCAUUAAUUUGGUGUCGCGGGAAAUCAGGACUGUUACUUUGAAAAAAUUGAGUGUUUAAAGCAGGCUCGCGCUUGAAUACAUUAGCAUGGAAUAGUGAAAUAGGACGUUUGAUUCUAUUUUGUUGGUUUCUAGGAUCGACGUAAUGAUUAAUAGGGAUAGUUGGGGGCAUUAGUAUUCAAUUGUCAGAGGUGAAAUUCUUGGAUUUAUUGAAGACUAACUACUGCGAAAGCAUUUGCCAAGGAUGUUUUCAUUAAUCAAGAACGAAAGUUAGGGAUCGAAGGCGAUCAGAUACCG